GGUUAUGGCUCAGUGGUAGAGCACUCAUCUUGCACGUGCGAGGCCCUGGGUUUAAUCCUCAGCACCA
RNAcentral lists this transfer RNA (67 nucleotides) under Marmota monax (woodchuck). RNAcentral describes it as "tRNA.Ala". Lineage: Eukaryota; Metazoa; Chordata; Mammalia; Rodentia; Sciuridae. The record is from RNAcentral.